GCAGGUGGACAUCUGACGGUCCUGAAGCUCUCCGAUAUAUUUUCUCUGACGCGUUCUGGCACGUCGAGUGGAACAUCGGACAUCGUGCCAAGCAACGCGGAACAACCCGAAAACACAUCAGAGAGCUGCAAAUAAAUCAGAUGUCCGGUAGUAUGGUGUUGGUCUGCUCGCCCCGAAUGGAUGGAUGAUGAACGGCGUGCCAUCCCCCCCAUUCACUCUCUUCUCGUCGCCUCGGCAAAACACGCACUUGGACGCACGCGUUCUCUGGUAGCCGCGCAAUAUCUGUCGCUUUGAGAGUUUGCAGAGGGCGGUGAGGCGGUGGCGUGACAGGCUGCCAAACUGAGCUCUCGAUUGACCAGCAGCUUACACGCGGAGAGGUCGGGCAGAGGAGAGGAGUGGCAGGCGAAAUCGCACGGACCGUCAAGAGAUGGUGACGGAAGCGAGUGGAUUGACCAUGGAUUGAUCACGGCCAAUGUUGAUGAUGCACGGCCGAUGUUGAUGAUGCACGGUAACAUGGUUUCUCUCCUUCGCCAUCGUACGUGGACAUGGCGAGUACAUCUGGGUGGCUCUUGCGAGGGGGCGACGCAUCCCUAGCAGAAGCCACCUCAUUCUCCUCCUCCUCCUCCUGCUGCUGCUGUCGCGGCUGCUGCGGUUGC
Lethenteron reissneri (Far Eastern brook lamprey) is the source of this 656-nucleotide long non-coding RNA. RefSeq lists it as uncharacterized. NCBI's taxonomy places the organism in Eukaryota, Metazoa, Chordata, Hyperoartia, Petromyzontiformes, Petromyzontidae. The record is from RefSeq and is a predicted model, not a curated record.